This 884-nucleotide ribosomal RNA is filed under the name uncultured bacterium. Its description in RNAcentral is "bacterial SSU rRNA". It matches the Rfam family "Bacterial small subunit ribosomal RNA", at positions 8 to 916 of the family's 1533-position model. The record is from RNAcentral.
AGAGUUUGAUCCUGGCUCAGGAUAAACGCUGGCGGCGUGCCUAACACAUGCAAGUCGAACGCUCUCUCAGCAAUGGGAGGGAGUGGCGGACGGGUGAGUAACACAUGGGAAUCGACCCACACGUGAGGAAUACCACCGGGAAACCGGUGACAAUACCGCAUACGCUCGGACAACCGAACAAAGCUCUUUUUCGGAAGGGCGCGCGUGGACGAGCCUGUGCCUGAUUAGUUCGUUGGUGGGGUAAGAGCCUACCAAGACUGCGAUCAGUCGCUGGUCUGAGAGGAUGAUCAGCCACACUGGGAUUGAGAACGGCCCAGACUCCUACGGGGGGCAGCAGUGAGGAAUAUUCGGCAAUGGGGGCAACCCUGACCGAGCAACGCCGCGUGCAGGAUGACGGCCUUCGGGUUGUAAACUGCUUUUCUGGGGGAUGAGAAACGGACAGUACCCCAGGAAGAAGCUCCGGCUAACUACGUGCCAGCAGCCGCGGUAAUACGUAGGGAGCAAGCGUUGUCCGGAGUUACUGGGCGUAAAGCGCACGCAGGCGGUCUGUCGCGUCCGUGCCGACAGCGACUCGCCUAACGAGUCGAGGAGUACGGAAACGGGCAGACUUGAGGGUCAGAGAGGGACCUGGAAUUCCGGGUGGAGCGGUGAAAUGCGUAGAGAUCCGGAGGAACACCGAAGGCGCAGGCAGGGUCCUGGCUGGUCACUGACGCUGAGGGGCGAAAGCUAGGGGAGCGAACGGGAUUAGAUACCCCGGUAGUCCUAGCCGUAAACGAUGACCACUAGGUGUGCGGCGUAUCGACCCGCUGCGUGCCGGAGCUAACGCACUAAGUGGUCCGCCUGGGGAGUACGGUCGCAAGAUUAAAACUCAAAGGAAUUGACGG